CUAUGGGACAUGGAGGACUCUUUAUUUGCAGUGAAUCAAUAAUGGUUAAGAGUCCUAGGCUUCAGAGAAGCAUUAACAAAAAAUUGCUAUUGGAGAUAAAGAAAAUGCAUGCUCUGUUUGAUCCAGUGAUCCCUGCAUGAUGGUUGAAACAACUGAAUUGGCAACUUCACUGCUGCCGUGUUCAUACAUUCCUGGACAGGCAAAAUUUGCAAAUUCCACAUCUCAAGGCUUCACCUGCUCCCUGGGUGCGAGCAUUUUUUGAUAGCUGAUUUUGAAUAGACUUUGACUAAUGACAACCUUAUCAAGCCAAGGUGGUCAGGAGAUAUCCACUUGUGUAAUCUGCCAAGUUGGUGUAUAGAUAACCAUCAGUUGUUCAUCAAAUGCUUGUAUCAGGCCCAUUUGGGAGCAUCAGUCUUUUUGGUUUCAAUGCCAGUUGGCAUCUCUUCCAACAGCAUAGUGUAAAUGGAGGCAGGGCCAUCUGCUGCCCUGAAAUAGGAUUUGCUAUUAGUUACCUUCAGGAGUCCUGGGCUUUGCUGUUAGCCGCCUUCAGUACUUUUAAUCCUCUUGGAUUGAUGCAGCCUCCAACUGAUGCUGCCACAGAUAAGGAUCCUCUCCACCUUGCCUGCAGUAGGCCAUGCCACCCACCAGCCCUCAGCAUCGAGCUCCCUUCAAUUUCCUACCAAAAGUAAGGAACUCUGGUCCUUGCUAGGCUUGUGGGGGGUUUCCAUCUUUAUAGUAAACCCGGGCCCUCUCAGUUUGUUGAUUCAUGUGAGACGAGUCUCUAUCUAUCUAUCUAUCUAUCUAUCUAUCUCGCUCUCACACACACACAUGCACCACACAUGCGCACGGAGUGUAGGAUCAUCCCUAUUAAAUAUAAGAAAAAUGCUUGUUAUUCACCAGAUAAGCACCGAAGACAGCAACACUUGAAACCAAAACCUUCAGCAAGAAUUUUCUGCCGAGCCUCACNNN
RNAcentral lists this long non-coding RNA (969 nucleotides) under Phoenix dactylifera (date palm). Its description in RNAcentral is "long non-coding RNA (PDAC_LNC007370)". The record is from RNAcentral. Lineage: Eukaryota; Viridiplantae; Streptophyta; Magnoliopsida; Arecales; Arecaceae.